RNAcentral lists this ribosomal RNA (404 nucleotides) under uncultured bacterium. RNAcentral's name for it is "bacterial SSU rRNA". It matches the Rfam family "Bacterial small subunit ribosomal RNA", at positions 355 to 776 of the family's 1533-position model. The record is from RNAcentral.
UAGGGGAUAUUGGUAAUGGGCGAAAGCCUGAACCAGCAACGCCGCGUGUGCGAUGAAGGCCUUCGGGUCGUAAAGCACUUUUGAGUGGGACGAGGAAGGACGGUACCAUUCGAAUCAGCCUCGGCUAACUACGUGCCAGCAGCCGCGGUAAAACGUAGGAGGCGAGCGUUAUCCGGAUUUACUGGGUGUAAAGCGCAUGCAGGCGGCGCGAUAAGUUGGGUGUGAAAGCUCCUGGCCUAACCGGGAGAGGUCGCUCAAGACUGUCGUGCUCGAGCGUGGUAGAGGAAGGCGGAAUUCCGGGUGUAGUGGUGAAAUGCGUAGAGAUCCGGAGGAACACCAGUGGCGAAAGCGGCCUUCUGGACCAUGACUGACGCUCAGAUGCGAAAGCCAGGGUAGCAAACGGG